AUAAUCCAUGACCUUCGGGACCUUUAAGUACCGAACACAGGACACACUUCCCUGUAUUGUGUGGUUGGAGGGACUCCUGACAUUGGCAAACGCCUCUGUCCAGAGGAGGCUGUUUUGUGUCCUCUGUGGAAAUUUCCUCUGGUCUUCACACUGCCUGUGGCUGGCUGGUUGGAUCACGCCCUCAGUUGCUUUGUGAACCAUUGCAGCCCAUCCGCACUGAGGAUUUUGGGGGUGAAGGAAGGCGACUGUGUCCGCAGUGGAACAACAAACAUCUUGGCCCACACACACUACUUCUAAAGGGAUGGCAGAGAAGAAAACUGAG
Molecule: long non-coding RNA, 322 nt
Organism: Chinchilla lanigera (long-tailed chinchilla)
Lineage: Eukaryota; Metazoa; Chordata; Mammalia; Rodentia; Chinchillidae
Exons: 3
Source: RefSeq, a predicted model, not a curated record